RNAcentral lists this ribosomal RNA (450 nucleotides) under uncultured bacterium. RNAcentral describes it as "partial 16S ribosomal RNA". It matches the Rfam family "Bacterial small subunit ribosomal RNA", at positions 338 to 795 of the family's 1533-position model. The record is from RNAcentral.
CCUAGGGGGGCUGCAGUCGAGAAUCUUCGGCAAUGGGCGCAAGCCUGACCGAGCGACGCCGCGUGCGGGAUGAAGGCCUUCGGGUUGUAAACCGCUGUCAGAGGGGAGGAAAUGCAUGGGAGUUCUCUCUCGUGUUUGACCUAUCCUCAGAGGAAGUACGGGCUAAGUUCGUGCCAGCAGCCGCGGUAAUACGAACCGUACGGACGUUAUUCGGAUUCACUGGGCGUAGGGCGUGCGUAAACUGCUGGGAGAAAUCCCUCGGCUCAACCGAGGAAUUGCGCCCAAAACUACCUGGCUUGAGGAAGAUAGAGGUAAGCGGAACUAAUGGUGGAGCGGUGAAAUGCGUUGAUAUCAUUAGGAACACCUGUGGCGAAAGCAGCUUACUGGGUCUUAUCUGACGCUGAGGCACGAAAGCUAGGGGAGCGAACGGGAUUAGAUACCCUUGUAGUC